RNAcentral lists this ribosomal RNA (757 nucleotides) under uncultured Methanomethylovorans sp. RNAcentral's name for it is "bacterial SSU rRNA". It matches the Rfam family "Archaeal small subunit ribosomal RNA", at positions 102 to 859 of the family's 1478-position model. Lineage: Archaea; Methanobacteriati; Methanobacteriota; Methanomicrobia; Methanosarcinales; Methanosarcinaceae. The record is from RNAcentral.
GGAUAACCUGCCCUUAGGACUGGCAUAACCCCGGGAAACUGGGGAUAAUUCCGGAUAGUUCAUGGUAGCUGGAAUGCUCCAUGAUCGAAAGCUAUUGCGCCUAAGGAUGGGUCUGCGGUCUAUCAGGUAGUAGUGGGUGUAAUGUACCUACUAGCCGACGACGGAUACGGGUUGUGGGAGCAAGAGCCCGGAGAUGGAUUCUGAGACAUGAAUCCAGGCCCUACGGGGCGCAGCAGGCGCGAAAACUUUACAAUGCGGGAAACCGCGAUAAGGGGACACCGAGUGCCAGCAUCUUAUGUUGGCUGUCCGCAUGUAUAAAUCACAUGUGUUAGCAAGGGCCGGGCAAGACCGGUGCCAGCCGCCGCGGUAACACCGGCGGCCCGAGUGGUGGCCACUAUUAUUGGGUCUAAAGGGUCCGUAGCCGGUUUGGUCAGUCUUCCGGGAAAUCUGACGGCUUAACCGUUAGGCUUUCGGGGGAUACUACCAGGCUUGGGACCGGGAGAGGUAAGAGGUACUACGGGGGUAGGAGUGAAAUCUUGUAAUCCUCGUGGGACCACCAGUGGCGAAGGCGUCUUACCAGAACGGGUCCGACGGUGAGGGACGAAAGCUGGGGGCACGAACCGGAUUAGAUACCCGGGUAGUCCCAGCCGUAAACUAUGCUCGCUAGGUGUCAGGGACGGUGCGACCGUUUCUGGUGCCGCAGGGAAGCCGUGAAGCGAGCCACCUGGGAAGUACGGUCGCAAAGGCUGAAACUUAA